This 468-nucleotide ribosomal RNA is filed under the name uncultured bacterium. Its description in RNAcentral is "partial 16S ribosomal RNA". It matches the Rfam family "Bacterial small subunit ribosomal RNA", at positions 28 to 507 of the family's 1533-position model. The record is from RNAcentral.
GACGAACGCUGGCGGCGUGCUUAACACAUGCAAGUCGAACGGAAAGGCCCUGCUUUUGUGGGGUGCUCGAGUGGCGAACGGGUGAGUAACACGUGAGUAACCUGCCCUUGACUUUGUGAUAACUUCAGGAAACUGGGGCUAAUACCGGAUAGGAGCUCCUGCUGCAUGGUGGGGGUUGGAAAGUUUCGGCGGUUGGGGAUGGACUCGCGGCUUAUCAGCUUGUUGGUGGGGUAGUGGCUUACCAAGGCUUUGACGGGUAGCCGGCCUGAGAGGGUGACCGGCCACAUUGGGACUGAGAUACGGCCCAGACUCCUACGGGAGGCAGCAGUGGGGAAUAUUGCACAAUGGGCGGAAGCCUGAUGCAGCAACGCCGCGUGCGGGAUGACGGCCUUCGGGUUGUAAACCGAUUUCGCCUGUGACGAAGCGUGAGUGACGGUAAUGGGUAAAGAAGCACCGGCUAACUACGUG